UAAGACGGAAGGGGCCAGCGUUGCUCGGAAUCACUGGGCAUAAAGAGCACGUAGGCGGGGACGUAAGUCAGGAGUGAAAUCCCUCGGCUUAACCGAGGAAUGGCUCUUGAUACUGCGUCUCUUGAGUGCGGGAGGGGAGAGUGGAAUUCCCGGUGGAGCGGUGAAAUGCGUAGAUAUCGGGAGGAACGCCGGUGGCGAAAGCGACUCUCUGGCCCGUGACUGACGCUGAGGUGCGAAAGCUAGGGGGGCAAACGGGAUUAGAUACCCCGGUAGUCCUAGCCCUAAACGAUGGGCACUGAGUAGGGGGAUUCCGAUGUCCUCUCUGCUGGAGCAAAUGCGUUAAGUGCCCCGCCUGGGGAGUAUGGUCGCAAGGCUG
RNAcentral lists this ribosomal RNA (376 nucleotides) under uncultured bacterium. Its description in RNAcentral is "bacterial SSU rRNA". It matches the Rfam family "Bacterial small subunit ribosomal RNA", at positions 521 to 896 of the family's 1533-position model. The record is from RNAcentral.